This 1316-nucleotide ribosomal RNA is filed under the name Tenebroides sp. G0181. Its description in RNAcentral is "SSU rRNA". It matches the Rfam family "Eukaryotic small subunit ribosomal RNA", at positions 32 to 1290 of the family's 1831-position model. Lineage: Eukaryota; Metazoa; Arthropoda; Insecta; Coleoptera; Trogossitidae. The record is from RNAcentral.
UUGUCUCAAAGAUUAAGCCAUGCAUGUCUCAGUACAAGCCGAAUUAAGGUGAAACCGCGAAAGGCUCAUUAAAUCAGUUAUGGUUCCUUAGAUCGUACCACACUUACUUGGAUAACUGUGGUAAUUCUAGAGCUAAUACAUGCAAACAGAGCUCCGACCGGAGACGGAAGGAGCGCUUUUAUUAGAUCAAAACCAAUCGGUGUCGGGUUCGCCCGUCAUCGUACAACCUGGUGACUCUGAAUAACUUUAAGCUGAUCGCACGGUCUCGCACCGGCGACGCAUCUUUCAAAUGUCUGCCUUAUCAACUGUCGAUGGUAGGUUCUGCGCCUACCAUGGUUGUAACGGGUAACGGGGAAUCAGGGUUCGAUUCCGGAGAGGGAGCCUGAGAAACGGCUACCACAUCCAAGGAAGGCAGCAGGCGCGCAAAUUACCCACUCCCGGCACGGGGAGGUAGUGACGAAAAAUAACGAUACGGGACUCAUCCGAGGCCCCGUAAUCGGAAUGAGUACACUCUAAACCCUUUAACGAGGAUCAAUUGGAGGGCAAGUCUGGUGCCAGCAGCCGCGGUAAUUCCAGCUCCAAUAGCGUAUAUUAAAGUUGUUGCGGUUAAAAAGCUCGUAGUCGAAUUUGUGUCCCGCGCCGCCGGUUCAUCGUCCGCGGUGUUAACUGGCGUGCCGCGGGACGUCCUGCCGGUGGGCUUAGCUCUACGGGGCGGCCCAACUCAAUCCCGCCGCGGUGCUCUUCACUGAGUGUCGAGGUGGGCCGGCACGUUUACUUUGAACAAAUUAGAGUGCUUAAAGCAGGCUAAAACUUCGCCUGAAUACUGUGUGCAUGGAAUAAUGGAAUAGGACCUCGGUUCUAUUUUGUUGGUUUUCGGAACCCCGAGGUAAUGAUUAAUAGGAACGGAUGGGGGCAUUCGUAUUGCGACGUUAGAGGUGAAAUUCUUGGACCGUCGCAAGACGAACAGAAGCGAAAGCAUUUGCCAAAAACGUUUUCAUUGAUCAAGAACGAAAGUUAGAGGUUCGAAGGCGAUCAGAUACCGCCCUAGUUCUAACCAUAAACGAUGCCAGCUAGCGAUCCGCCGACGUUCCAUUAUAUGACUCGGCGGGCAGCUUCCGGGAAACCAAAGCUUUUGGGUUCCGGGGGAAGUAUGGUUGCAAAGCUGAAACUUAAAGGAAUUGACGGAAGGGCACCACCAGGAGUGGAGCCUGCGGCUUAAUUUGACUCAACACGGGAAACCUCACCAGGCCCAGACACCGGAAGGAUUGACAGAUUGAGAGCUCUUUCUUGAUUCGGUGGGUGGUGGUGCAUGGCCG